UACGUAGGGGGCUAGCGUUGUCCGGAAUCAUUGGGCGUAAAGAGCUCGUAGGCGGUCUGUCACGUCGGCUGUGAAAACCCGAGGCUCAACCUCGGGCCUGCAGUCGAUACGGGCAAACUGGAGUGCUGCAGGGGAGACUGGAAUUCCUGGUGUAGCGGUGAAAUGCGCAGAUAUCAGGAGGAACACCGGUGGCGAAGGCGGGUCUCUGGGCAGUAACUGACGCUGAGGAGCGAAAGCGUGGGGAGCGAACAGG
This 253-nucleotide ribosomal RNA is filed under the name uncultured bacterium. RNAcentral's name for it is "partial 16S ribosomal RNA". It matches the Rfam family "Bacterial small subunit ribosomal RNA", at positions 524 to 776 of the family's 1533-position model. The record is from RNAcentral.